UCCCAGGGCGCGCCGCCUGGGACGUUUUGGGGCGCGGAGCCCGCGGAGCAGCCGCAAUGGCCAGCACCAGGAGUAUCGAGCUGGAGCACUUUGAGGAACGGGACAAAAGGCCGCGGCCGGGGUCGCGGCGAGGGGCGCCCAGCUCCUCCGGGGGCAGCAGCAGCUCGGGCCCCAAGGGGAACGGGCUGAUCCCCAGCCCGGCGCACAGCGCCCACUGCAGCUUCUACCGCACGCGCACCCUGCAGGCCCUGAGCUCGGAGAAGAAGGCCAAGAAGGCGCGCUUCUACCGGAACGGGGACCGCUACUUCAAGGGCCUGGUGUUGGCCAUCUCCGCCGACCGCUUCCGCUCCUUCGACGCGCUGCUCGUCGAGCUCACCCGCUCGCUGUCGGACAACGUGAACCUGCCCCAGGGUGUCCGCACCAUCUACUCCAUCGACGGCAGCAGGAAGGUCACCAGCCUGGAGGAGCUGCUGGAAGGUGAGAGUUAUGUGUGUGCAUCGAAUGAACCAUUUCGUAAAGUUGAUUACACCAAAAAUAUUAAUCCAAACUGGUCUGUGAACGUCAAGGGUGGAAGCACCCGGGCCUUGGCUGCUGCCUCCUCAGUGAAAAGUGAAGUGAAAGAAAGUAAAGAUUUCAUCAAACCCAAGUUAGUGACUGUGAUUCGAAGUGGAGUGAAGCCCAGAAAAGCCGUGCGGAUCCUUCUGAAUAAGAAGACUGCUCAUUCCUUUGAACAAGUCUUAACAGAUAUCACUGAAGCCAUUAAACUAGACUCAGGAGUGGUCAAGAGGCUCUGCACACUGGAUGGCAAGCAGGUUACUUGUCUGCAAGACUUUUUUGGUGAUGAUGAUGUUUUUAUUGCAUGUGGACCUGAAAAAUUCCGUUAUGCCCAAGAUGACUUUGUCCUGGAUCACAGUGAAUGCCGUGUCUUGAAGUCAUCUUAUUCUCGCUCCUCAACUGUUAAAUAUUCUGGAUCCAAAAGCCCUGGAACCUCUCGACGCAGCAAAUCACCAGCUUCAGUUAAUGGAACCCCAAGCAGCCAGCUUUCUACUCCUAAAUCUACGAAAUCCUCCAGUUCUUCUCCAACUAGCCCAGGAAGUUUCAGAGGAUUAAAGCAGAUUUCUGCGCAUGGCAGAUCUUCUUCCACUGUGAACGGUGGACCUGAACUUGACCGUUGCAUGAGUCCUGAAGGUGUGAAUGGAAACAGGUGCUCGGAAUCAUCAACUCUGCUUGAGAAAUAUAAGAUUGGCAAGGUUAUUGGUGAUGGCAACUUUGCAGUAGUCAAGGAGUGCAUGGACCGGUCUACUGGAAAGGAGUUUGCCCUAAAGAUUAUAGACAAAGCCAAGUGCUGUGGAAAGGAGCACUUGAUUGAGAAUGAAGUGUCAAUACUGCGUCGUGUGAAGCACCCGAAUAUCAUCAUGCUGGUCGAAGAGAUGGAGACCACCACGGAGCUCUUCCUGGUGAUGGAGUUGGUCAAGGGUGGAGAUCUCUUUGAUGCAAUUACCUCUUCAACCAAGUACACCGAGAGGGACGGCAGUGCCAUGGUGUACAACCUGGCCAAUGCCCUCAGAUAUCUCCAUGGCCUCAGCAUUGUGCACAGAGAUAUCAAGCCCGAGAACCUCUUGGUGUGUGAAUAUCCUGAUGGAACCAAGUCUUUGAAGCUGGGAGACUUUGGACUGGCUACCGUGGUGGAAGGCCCUUUGUACACGGUCUGUGGCACCCCGACUUACGUGGCCCCGGAAAUCAUUGCUGAAACUGGCUAUGGCCUGAAGGUGGACAUUUGGGCAGCAGGUGUGAUCACGUACAUACUGCUCUGUGGAUUCCCACCAUUCAGAAGUGAGAACAAUCUCCAGGAAGAUCUCUUCGACCAGAUCUUGGCUGGGAAGCUGGAGUUUCCAGCCCCCUACUGGGAUAACAUCACAGAUUCAGCAAAGGAAUUAAUCAGUCAGAUGCUUCAGGUAAAUGCUGAAGCCCGAUGUACCGCAGGACAGAUCCUGAGUCACCCUUGGGUGUCAGAUGAUGCCUCCCAGGAGAAUAAUAUGCAAGCAGAAGUAACAGGUAAACUCAAACAGCACUUUAACACUGCGCUCCCCAAACAGAACAGCACCACUACCGGGGUGUCCGUUAUCAUGGUAAGUGGGACGCGGGCUUCUGCUGUGGGAAAGCUCAGUGUCUGGCCUGCCUGCUCAGAUGGCGUUUGACUUUUGGAAGUAAACAGCCCAGAGCUUCCCUCACAUGGAAGUUGCCACCUUCCAUGUUUCUCUUUUCACUUCAAGAUGGGCUUGGCACGUGCAGUGCACCUGCUGGCUGACCAGCGUUGAGUGUCGGGGUGGAGGUUGUGCAGGUACCUGCAAGGCAAUCUGAUGGUGGCCCAGGCACCGGAGCCCUGUGCGUGGCUCCCUUCCGGGCAGCCGUCUCUGCUCUUGUCCCUGCUGCUCAUCUGGAGGAUUCCCAGGCCUGGGUGGGGCUUACAGCAGAAGGAAGAGACUCCCCUCCUGCCUGCUCAGGGCUUCAAAUGCAGAUUAUACGAGGCAGGAAUUAGUCUUGGGAAAGUGGGAUUUAAAAAGUCAAGGGUAAACACAUGCCAGUAAAAAAUAAGGGCUCUGUGACUUUUAAAAUACGGGACAAUGUAAAGCAUCAGUUUUCUCGAGUCGGUGAAAUGUUUAGAGAAGUCAGGAAUGUUAUCCCCGUCAUUUUCCAGCCCUCCCUCCUUCCAAAAUAUGUGCAAAGCAGCUCAUUUAAACCCGUAAAAGGAGCAAGUUGAAAGUGUAACAUUAAAGUACGUGAAGAAGCAUUGAGAAAAGUUUAGCAAAGGGAAAAUGAUGGUAGGAAGAACAAAGCCAGAAGUAAGGUCAGGAUGCCAGCACAGCCGGACGUGGGGCCUUAACUCCUGCCCGGAGCAUCCCCACCUGUCAGGGUGCCUGGUUCAGAGCAGCCAGCAUCUGGGGCGCGGGCUUCCAUUCCGCCCACGGGGGCAGGUUCCUUCUCCAGAGCCGGAGCUCUGGCUAAGCGGCUUCCCAGUCCCGCCCUGAGUAGAGGGGUGUGGGGCUGACGGGGGCCUGGUCCCCCGGGCUCUGUGGAGUCCUAGCAGCACUUCAGGCCAACAGGGAGCCUGAUGCCUGUGACGGGCCAUCUCAUCGCCUGCCACUCUCCCCAGGGCCGCUGCCCCUCUGCAGAGGCUCCAUUUGUUUCCCAUCCAACCAGAAGGACACUGGCAUGUGGUCUGGGAGCCUCACCUAAGACGCAGGGUCUACAGGGACACUGGAGGGAGCCCUUCCCCUUGGGAACUCCAGAAGCUGCGGGGUGUGUGGCGAGCAUCUGCCCCAGAGCCGCUGGCCCUGCUCCCCGCUGCCCUCAGGGAGCCGCACUUGUUGGGCCCCUCUGUGUGUCCUCACAGCACCCUCGGUCCUCCCCUGCUGAGAAGUGCUCCCCGCCCCUGGCCUUCCCCAGACAGGGCUUGCAGGGCCUCUUGACAUGUUGCAGGACUGGGGAUGCUCUGUGCCAGAGCGAUGGGGAGGCGCUCGAGGUGUGGUUUUCCUAGAGUCUCAGCAGUGUCUUGCUGAAAGCCUGGGAACAGCAGCGCUGUCACAGGAUUGCGGCCAAAACGCUUUGAGAAGAACCAUCUUGAUGAAACCAACAGCAUAACGUUUUCAAGCAAUUCAAGGAGGAGAGUGAGCGCCGAUGGUUGGGGUCAGGAGUCCUGGCCUUGCUCGUUGCAAGGCAGCUUCUAGGAAAAAUGAGGGGGAAAAAAAAAACACAUAAAAAUUGGCACACUGGAAAUAAUGAAAGACCUGAAAGACCUUAAGAGUGAUUUUCUAGAAUGUAAAUUUGAUAACUGUGUUAGGCGAGCUUCAGUCUCCUGGAGGGGACACCCUUCCAUGGGGAUGGCCUGGGGCUCUGUCAUCUCAGGACCCAGAUAGGAGUCGAUUGCCCAGGACCUGUGAGUGGCCACGGUUCUGGAACAAUCCAGCCCUUGUCCCUGUGACCCAGAAAAGGUUCUGUUCUGGAUAAAGGUUCUGUUGAGAGCCCCUCAGCCGAAACCUAUGCUGUACAAUUUCCAAAUGGCAUUUUCCCACGUGCUGAUGGAGUGCAGCCGUCAAAUUGCAGACCCUGGAGCUUCACCUGGAUGUUUGUGUGAAUGAGCACCCUGUACCGUGUGUAAUUCCUGCGGUGACCGUGAGCGUCGUGUGUGCACAUGUAUGUUCAGUUGUCGUUUUGAGCAUGUUGCCAGGGUCCCGUCUAACCCAUGUUACCUACACAACUCUGCAGGUUGUUAGCUCCGAGCAACUGCUGAGUGAGAUUAUCACCUUCAGUACCUACAGGAGAGAUCAGUAAAGCUUGUCUCUGGAGGUACCAAUCUCAGUGGCCAAAAAAGGGGGCCUGUGAAUUUCGGCCUGUCGUAAAAGCAGCGGUGAGGAGAAGGCCUCUUUGGGGGUGCGCUAAUCCUCACCCCACAGAGGACCUGGCCCCGGGCAUGGUUGUGUGGGGGUAGCUUGCGUGCCAUGCUUCCGUGUCGUCCCAUCCACUCCAUCGUGGUCUGUGUCUGUGUCCUUCCCCUGGGAACAGUUUUAAGUGUUUUUUAUAUUGAAAACAAUUCACCACACAAUGGCUCUCCCUGGCAUGCGUGUCCUCUUCACUGGAGUGUGCGAGGCAGCCGUGGUUCCUGCAGAUACUAAUAGUAGCGGGAAUGAUGGGACUUCGUCCUGAGGUGGGGUCCUCAGAGGACAUUUCUGUACCUUACAGCAGGUGUCCACCUGCUCCUCUGCUGGGCUUUCCUCUGCCCCCCGAGCAGCGCCCCGAGCUCCGGCGAGACAGGCCAGGAGCCUUGAGUAACGGUGAAAGAAAAGUUGAUGUUAUUGUCUGCGUUUUGUUUGGCAGUUUGAUUUGACAGCUUGAGAGACUUCAGAGGUUCACUCUUUACCCAGUUGAGACUGUGGGGACCCGAAAGCAGGACGCUGAACACGGCUCUAGAUAAGGAGGGGCAGAUUUUCUGCAGC
RNA transcript from Talpa occidentalis (Iberian mole), 4994 nucleotides. It is a transcript of the gene named doublecortin like kinase 2, with no coding region annotated. Lineage: Eukaryota; Metazoa; Chordata; Mammalia; Eulipotyphla; Talpidae. The transcript has 16 exons. The record is from RefSeq and is a predicted model, not a curated record.